Molecule: ribosomal RNA, 535 nt
Filed under: Sigiweddellia sp. BB-2016
Lineage: Eukaryota; Metazoa; Cnidaria; Hydrozoa; Narcomedusae; Cuninidae
Description: LSU rRNA
Rfam family: Bacterial large subunit ribosomal RNA
Source: RNAcentral
CCUAUAAAUUAUAUUUUAUAGUGGGACCUGGUCAGUGAAUGAAUUAAACACACGCCUUAGAGUGAGGGUGAUAAUGUAGCAUAAUAAUUUGGCAUUUAAUUGAUGUCUGGAAUGAAUGGUGAAACGAUUUUAACAUUGUCUCAGCUUUUUACCGAGUGAAAUUACUUAAUUUAUGAAAAUUUAAAUUAAAUUUUAUAAGACGAAAAGACCCCAUAAACCUUAACUAGAAUGUUUCAUAUAAACAAAGAUAGUUUAGCUGGGGUGGCUAUCUCUUAACUAAACAGAGACAAAUAUAACUAAAAUCUUAUAUAUUUUUAAAUAAAUUAUAAAAAAAUAUUUAGAUCUUUUAAAGUUAAUAAUGACCAGUACAAAUAAAAGAAUUUAUAACUAUAAUUAAUAAAAGGUACUUUGGGGAUAACAGCGUUAUUUAGAAAUAAAGAUUGUUAUUUAUUUCUAAGUUUGCGACCUCGAUGUUGAAUUAAGAUCACUUUUAGGCGUAUAAGCUUUAAUAGUUGGACUGUUCGUCCAUUAAAAU